RNAcentral lists this ribosomal RNA (450 nucleotides) under uncultured organism. RNAcentral describes it as "partial 16S ribosomal RNA". It matches the Rfam family "Bacterial small subunit ribosomal RNA", at positions 335 to 801 of the family's 1533-position model. The record is from RNAcentral.
ACUCCUACGGGAGGCAACAGUGGGGAAUAUUGGACAAUGGGCGCAAGCCUGAUCCAGCCAUGCCGCGUGAGUGAUGAAGGCCCUAGGGUUGUAAAGCUCUUUCACCGGUGAAGAUAAUGCCGGUAACCGGAGAAGCAGCCCCGGCUAACUUCGUGCCAGCAGCCGCGGUAAUACGAAGGGGGCUAGCGUUGUUCGGAUUUACUGGGCGUAAAGCGCACGGAGGCGGACUAUUAAGUCAGGGGUGAAAUCCCGGGGCUCAACCCCGGAACUGCCUUUGAUACUGGUAGUCUUGAGUUCGAGAGAGGUGAGUGGAAUUCCGAGUGUAGAGGUGAAAUUCGUAGAUAUUCGGAGGAACACCAGUGGCGAAGGCGGCUCACUGGCUCGAUACUGACGCUGAGGUGCGAAAGCGUGGGGAGCAAACAGGAUUAGAAACCCUAGUAGUCCCAUGAU